GCAGUUUGAAAUCAUAGCCCAUUCUCUGUUUCACUGCUCAAGAACCAAGGGAGUCAGAGAUCGAUAUGUAAAUUCCACACCACUACUCACCAUGGCCCCUGCUGACUUGGUUGCAAUUCCAAUUCUUCACGAAUGACUACUAACCCUGAAGUUGUGGCAAACUUUCUCUCCCUUUGAAAUAAGUAGAUACAAAUAAUCCA
Long non-coding RNA from Sphaerodactylus townsendi, 200 nucleotides. RefSeq lists it as uncharacterized. NCBI's taxonomy places the organism in Eukaryota, Metazoa, Chordata, Lepidosauria, Squamata, Sphaerodactylidae. The record is from RefSeq and is a predicted model, not a curated record. The transcript has 3 exons.